Molecule: unclassified non-coding RNA, 395 nt
Filed under: Hevea brasiliensis (rubber tree)
Lineage: Eukaryota; Viridiplantae; Streptophyta; Magnoliopsida; Malpighiales; Euphorbiaceae
Source: RNAcentral
AAAUCUUAAGAACAAAACAUAGGGUCCUCUAUUCCGCUAUCAGAGAAGCUAAAAAUCACUAUCAAACAUAGUUCUUAUUCCCAGUUCCUCCUACCAUUCGCUGUCCCAGGUAGAUUCACCAAAUAAUGCUUCCCGUCCACCAUUUUCACAUUGAUUCAAUACAAAUAUGGAAAAUCAAAAAAUAAAGAAGCCAAAUUAAAGUUCAAACCUUUGCCCACUUAUGCACAAUUCAUACUAAAUUCCGUACAAUUAUAGACGAUAAAUUCAACAAAAAUCUAAUGAAAAUCAGCAAUGCAACCCACUUAAACACAUUACAUAUAUGCAUAGAAUCCAAGAGACUUAGAGAAUAGUAAUCAAAGCAGAGAAAAGAACCUCGGCUCAUGAGGUACCAGGGG